GCGUGACUCAGUUUCCUCACCUGUAAGGAGUCCUGAUAGUAGUAGUACCUGCCUCCUAAGGGUCGUCACCCGCCGCAAGCGAGGGCUGGGUCGUUAACAGCUGGUGAAAACGGACACCAAAAAACUGGGUUGCUGCGUGCAAUGUGGAGGCAGAGAGAUGGACAGAGGAAGUGGGACCACAGUCUUUGCUGAAGGAUGCAGACCUCGCUAACUGCGUAACACUUGGUCUUAGAUGGAUCUCCAAGGCUCCUUGUAGCUCACAACUGGUCUUAUUUGCGCAUACACCCUUUAAAAUAAUACUUCCCUUUGCUUAUCCAUUUAAACCAGAUUUGCAAAGGCUAGUGUUUAAUAAGCCCAAUCCAAAACGGAUAUAUGAAUUGGAGUGAAAAACAGAUCAAGAGUUGGCAGGACAUGGGAAACUUUCCCAACACCCAAACACUUCUCCAGAACUUCUGGAAUGCCCCAAUUAGCAAUUACCCAGAUUGAGAUAUCUGUAUUUCUUUCUUUUUUUUUUUUUUUUGAGAUUUUAUUUAUUCAUGAGAGACACAGAGAGGCAAGACAUUGGCAGAGGGAGAAGCAGGCUCCCCACGGGGAGCCCUAUAGCAGACUCGAUUCCAGGACCCCGGGAUCAUGGUCUGAGCCAAAGGCAGAUGCUCAACCACUGAGCCACCCAGGUGCCCCGAGAUAUUUGAAUAUCUGAAAGGCAAGAGCCCCCACUCCUACAGCUGUGUAGCCCAGCUGGACCAGCAGUUUUCUUUGCACAUAGUAGGCCCUCAAUAUUUAUUGAAUUAAAUGGCCAUGUUUGUGGCUGAGUGCUCAACAUUUAAGGAGUCGUUGGGAACCACAGAUGAUGUUACUCAAGGGACAUCACUGCAGACAUCAUUAACAGGAACCCCCAAGUCACUAGUUAAGGAGUUAAUGGGAUUUUGGAAUGAACAACCCUGGCCACAGGCUUAUUUGGAAAAAUAAAGUGGAAAUUUCAGAUACAUUUUUUCCAUAACUUAUAUGGGUAAUCUUUUAAAACUUUAUUUUGGACCUAAUGAUGAGUAACACUGAUUCAAUUUUAUGCUUCAGUGAUAGUCCUCUGACUCUAUAGUACAGUUAAAGCUCCAAAGUCCCCACAUUUUCCCCCAAAUCCAAGUGUCACCAGUGAGUUAUGUCACUUCAGUAUAAAACCAGUAUUUGUUCUUAGGUAUAACUUUAGGGGCUUGCCAUAAUUUUUGUAUUUUUAAGCAUCUUGGAGGUAUUGUUAAAUGGCAAACACAGAUUUCUGUCACCAGUGUAGGGCUUUACUCUGGGGUAGGCAUGCAAAUUCACUUAUCUAGCAUACGAUAAACAGAACUUGUGUCAGUGAUUAUCAUGGAAAUAAAGAUAGAACCAUUUUUCCUCUAAAUUGGGGAUGGGCAAACUUUUUCUUAAAGGGGAAACAUAGUAAACAUGAAGGCAACUGUAGACAAUAUAUAACAGGAUGAAUGUGCCUCAAUUCCACUAAAAACUUACUUAUGGCAAUAAAUGGGUUUGAACCACAAGGCACUAUUUUGCUGAUUGAUCCCUCAGUAAUUGUAUUUAUAUUAAAUUCAUUCCAUUUUUUUUUAAUUUUUAUUUAUUUAUGAUAGUCACACACAGAGAGAGAGGCAGAGACACAGAGGGAGAAACAGGCUCCAUGCACCGGAAGCCCGACGUGGGAUUUGAUCCCGGGUCUCCAGGAUCGCGCCCUGGGCCAAAGGCAGGCGCUAAACUGCUGCGCCACCCAGGGAUCCCUAAAUUCAUUCCAUUUUUAUAUUCACUCCAAUGUGAAUUGCCAGAUAUUAAAAUACAAAGGGUAAAAGCUUGAUAUCAAUAAAGCACCAAAAAGUCAAAAGUC
Molecule: long non-coding RNA, 1864 nt
Organism: Nyctereutes procyonoides (raccoon dog)
Lineage: Eukaryota; Metazoa; Chordata; Mammalia; Carnivora; Canidae
Exons: 2
Source: RefSeq, a predicted model, not a curated record